Molecule: ribosomal RNA, 449 nt
Filed under: uncultured bacterium
Lineage: Bacteria
Description: partial 16S ribosomal RNA
Rfam family: Bacterial small subunit ribosomal RNA
Source: RNAcentral
GCUCCAGACUCCUACGGGAGGCAGCAGUGGGGAAUAUUGCACAAUGGGGGAAACCCUGAUGCAGCGACGCCGCGUGAAGGAAGAAGUAUUUCGGUAUGUAAACUUCUAUCAGCAGGGAAGAAAAUGACGGUACCUGACUAAGAAGCCCCGGCUAACUACGUGCCAGCAGCCGCGGUAAUACGUAGGGGGCAAGCGUUAUCCGGAUUUACUGGGUGUAAAGGGGGCGCAGACGGCGAUGCAAGCCAGGAGUGAAAGCCCGGGGCCCAACCCCGGGACUGCUCUUGGAACUGCGUGGCUGGAAUGCAGGAGGGGCAGGCGGAAUUCCUGGUGUAGCGGUGAAAUGCGUAGAUAUCAGGAGGAACACCGGUGGCGAAGGCGGCCUGCUGGACUGCAACUGACGUUGAGGCCCGAAAGCGUGGGGAGCAAACAGGAUUAGAUACCCCCGUACG